RNAcentral lists this ribosomal RNA (377 nucleotides) under uncultured bacterium. RNAcentral's name for it is "bacterial SSU rRNA". It matches the Rfam family "Bacterial small subunit ribosomal RNA", at positions 28 to 404 of the family's 1533-position model. The record is from RNAcentral.
GACGAACGCUGGCGGCGUGCUUAACACAUGCAAGUCGAGCGGUAAGGCCCUUUCGGGGGUACGACGAGCGGCGAACGGGUGAGUAACACGUGGGUGACCUGCCCUCAGCUCUGGGAUAAGCCCGGGAAACUGGGUCUAAUACCGGAUAUGACUUCAUGACGCAUGUUGUGGAGUGGAAAGCCUUGUGCGGCUGAGGAUGGGCCCGCGGCCUAUCAGCUUGUUGGUGGGGUGANGGCCUACCAAGGCGACGACGGGUAGCCGGCCUGAGAGGGCGACCGGCCACACUGGGACUGAGAUACGGCCCAGACUCCUACGGGAGGCAGCAGUGGGGAAUCUUGCGCAAUGGGCGAAAGGCCUGACGCAGCGACGCCGCGUGA